CGGGUGAGUAACGCGUGAGUAACCUGCCUUACACAAGGGGAUAGCCGUUGGAAACGACGAAUAAUACCCUAUGACAUAAACUCUUCGCAUGAGGAGCUUAUCAAAGAUUUAUCGGUGUAAGAUGGACUCGCGUCUGAUUAGCUAGUUGGUGAGGUAACGACCCACCAAGGCGACGAUCAGUAGCCGGCUUGAGAGAGUGUACGGCCACAUUGGGACUGAGACACGGCCCAGACUCCUACGGGAGGCAGCAGUG
RNAcentral lists this ribosomal RNA (253 nucleotides) under uncultured Anaerococcus sp. Its description in RNAcentral is "partial 16S ribosomal RNA". It matches the Rfam family "Bacterial small subunit ribosomal RNA", at positions 103 to 356 of the family's 1533-position model. Lineage: Bacteria; Bacillati; Bacillota; Tissierellia; Tissierellales; Peptoniphilaceae. The record is from RNAcentral.